Long non-coding RNA from Corythoichthys intestinalis (scribbled pipefish), 919 nucleotides. RefSeq lists it as uncharacterized. The transcript is spliced from 3 exons. The record is from RefSeq and is a predicted model, not a curated record. Lineage: Eukaryota; Metazoa; Chordata; Actinopteri; Syngnathiformes; Syngnathidae.
UAUAGCACCACGCUAUCCUCGCCAUAUAUUGCAUAUUACAUUUUCUGGGUUUUACUCGCGGGAUUCGUCAUGCCAUCUCGAUGUGUAGCGAUAUGAAUUACUCACAGGAAGACUCGAGACUCUAGGAGUGGUCAAAAAAAAAACUUCUCCUGCAAAGCCACGACAGCUUUGAAAACCUACAACAAUGCAACCUUGGUUUUCCAAAGACGAAGCCAAACAUAAAAAAUUAAGUGGCGGAAACCCUCAACACGAUGAAAAAAGCGUUGCAAGUCAGUUGCCACCCAGUUUCCCAAAAUCAAGAGAGAGAGGGUCGAGUCAUAUGAUGACCGAAGUGAUGCGGUGUCCAGCGAUGACGACUGAAGAGAUCCUAUGAGGCCUGCCAGAUGCUGAAUUUCUUCCGUCUGCGACAUCAGAUGACGAUGAUUUAGGAGAAAUAAAUGUAGCAAAUUUUGAUGACAUGAAAUCAUAAACUAGUCAUAUAUACAGUACACAUUUUUUAAAAGAAAAAUCAAGUUACCUUCAUAUUUUAAUGAUAAUGCAUUAUCUUUGUAUAGAGAACACUUCAUGCUACAGAAAAGAGUAAAUACAUAUUUCCCACUGCCAUUAUCAUUUUUCAGUGUUGCGCUAGUCCGUUGCUAUCCUAACUUUGUGUUGCUUACUAAAAUUAUGCUCUUUGAUGUGUGCCGUUGUGUGCUCGGUAUAACAUGUUGUGUCACAAUCUGACAACGAAAGCUAAUGCUGAUUCAACAUAAACCUGGUAUCAUUUAUUAUUGCGGCCUAUUGAAUAUUUUUUCAGAAUGUAAUAUAAUUACAAUAUAUUAUAUACCAAUAGAAUACAUUAAACAGUCAACAAAAUGUGUCAAUGUUGUUAACAAUUUAUGGUUUUAUUUUUUUAAUGAAAUUCAUGCCCGUCAGUGCU